This 253-nucleotide ribosomal RNA is filed under the name uncultured bacterium. Its description in RNAcentral is "partial 16S ribosomal RNA". It matches the Rfam family "Bacterial small subunit ribosomal RNA", at positions 524 to 776 of the family's 1533-position model. The record is from RNAcentral.
UACGUAGGGGGCAAGCGUUGUCCGGAAUCAUUGGGCGUAAAGAGCGUGUAGGCGGUUCGGUAAGUCGGCUGUGAAAGUCCAGGGCUCAACCCUGGGAUGCCGGUCGAUACUGCCGGACUAGAGUUCGGAAGAGGCGAGUGGAAUUCCCGGUGUAGCGGUGAAAUGCGUAGAGAUCGGCAGGAACACCCAGGGGGAAACCAGUGGACUGGCACGGUGCUGACGCUCAGGUGCGAAAGCGUGGGGAGCGAACCGG